This 557-nucleotide small RNA is filed under the name Pan troglodytes (chimpanzee). RNAcentral's name for it is "retained intron". Lineage: Eukaryota; Metazoa; Chordata; Mammalia; Primates; Hominidae. The record is from RNAcentral.
AUCUCACCCCCUGGAUCCAGCAUUGGGUCACCCAACCGAGUCAUCUGCGCUAAAGUGGAUAAUGAGAUCCUUAAUUACAAAGACCUGGCGGCUCUCCCCAAGGUUAAGUCUAUCUACGAGGUACAACGCCCCGACCUCAUUUCCUAUGAGCCUCAUUCCAGAUACACGUCUGACGAGAUGCUGGAGAGAUGUGGCUAUGGAGAGUCGCUGGGAACAUUAUCUCCCUACUCCCAGGACAUCUACGAGAACCUGGACCUCCGGCAGAGACGGGCCUCCAGCCCAGGGUACAUAGACUCCCCCACCUACAGCCGGCAGGGCAUGUCCCCCACCUUCUCCCGCUCACCUCACCACUACUACCGCUCUGGGCCCGAGAGUGGCCGGAGCUCUCCAUACCAUAGCCAGUUAGAUGUGAGGUCCUCCACUCCAACCUCUUACCAGGCUCCCAAGCACUUUCACAUCCCAGCUGGAGACAGUAACAUCUACCGGAAACCCCCGAUCUACAAACGGCAUGGUAUGGUCAGAGGCAGAUAGGGCUUGGCCACACAAGGAGAGGGGGG